Molecule: transfer RNA, 73 nt
Filed under: Ixodes scapularis (black-legged tick)
Lineage: Eukaryota; Metazoa; Arthropoda; Arachnida; Ixodida; Ixodidae
Description: tRNA-Ser
Source: RNAcentral
UCCUGGUUAGCUCAGUUUGUCGAGCGCUCCACUGGAAAUAAAUAGGUCCCUGGUUCGAUACCAGGACCAGGCA